CCUACGGGAGGCAGCAGUGGGGAAUAUUGCGCAAUGGGCGAAAGCCUGACGCAGCGACGCCGCGUGAGGGAUGAAGGUCUUCGGAUCGUAAACCUCUGUCAGCAGGGAAGAACGGUCACUGUGCUAAUCAGCAGUGAAUUGACGGUACCUGCAAAGGAAGCACCGGCUAAAUCCGUGCCAGCAGCCGCGGUAAUACGGAGGGUGCGAGCGUUAAUCGGAAUUACUGGGCGUAAAGCGCUCGUAGGCGGUAUGUCAAGUCAAGUGUGAAAUCCCCGCGCUCAACGUGGGAACUGCCGUUGAAACUGGCAAACUGGAGUGUGUGAGAGGAUGGUGGAAUUCCAGGUGUAGGAGUGAAAUCCGUAGAUAUCUGGAGGAACAUCAGUGGCGAAGGCGACUAUCUGGAACAUAACUGACGCUGAGGAGCGAAAGCGUGGGUAGCAAACAGGAUUAGAUACCCGUGUAGUC
This 465-nucleotide ribosomal RNA is filed under the name uncultured bacterium. RNAcentral describes it as "partial 16S ribosomal RNA". It matches the Rfam family "Bacterial small subunit ribosomal RNA", at positions 338 to 795 of the family's 1533-position model. The record is from RNAcentral.